GACGAACGCUGGCGGCGUGCUUAACACAUGCAAGUCGAACGGUGAAGGGGCCUGCUUUUGUGGGCCCUGGAUGAGUGGCGAACGGGUGAGUAACACGUGAGUAACCUGCCCCCUUCUUCUGGAUAACCGCAUGAAAGUGUGGCUAAUACGGGAUAUUCUGGGUCUGUCGCAUGAUGGGUCUGGGAAAGAUUGCGCCUUUGGGUGUUUUUGGUGGGGGAUGGGCUCGCGGCCUAUCAGCUUAUUGGUGGGGUGAUGGCCUACCAAGGCGGUGACGGGUAGCCGGCCUGAGAGGGUGGACGGUCACACUGGGACUGAGACACGGCCCAGACUCCUACGGGAGGCAGCAGUGGGGAAUAUUGCACAAUGGGCGCAAGCCUGAUGCAGCGACGCCGCGUGAGGGAGGGAGGCCUUCGGGGUGUAAACCUCUUUCGCCAGUGAAGCAGGCCUGCUCCUUGUGGGUGGGUUGACGGUAGCUGGAUAAGAAGCGCCGGCUAACUACGUG
This 502-nucleotide ribosomal RNA is filed under the name uncultured bacterium. RNAcentral describes it as "partial 16S ribosomal RNA". It matches the Rfam family "Bacterial small subunit ribosomal RNA", at positions 28 to 507 of the family's 1533-position model. The record is from RNAcentral.